UUCAGGUGUGGAGAAGCUCAGCAGUGAGAGAUUGAUCUCUGAGAAAAAAAGACAAAUCUCCUUUCAUUCCAACUUCCUUAGUAACACAAGGGCGAAACAGGAAAAAAAGAAAGAAUGUAAAUACGAUAACUGAAAGAAAAAAUAUGGCUGUGCUAGAAGAAGAGAAUACAAUAUUAUUAAGCCCAAGGAGAAUAGGAAGAUCUUUGGAGUGAUACUCUAGGAGCCUCAAAGGUGGAGUGAUGGGGAUUUAUACCGAAGACCACAAGAUUUAAUUACUCAGGCCAGCCCAGAUACAAGGAGAGGUGUGUGUGUAUGUACAGGGAAGGAAGAAAGAAAUUUAUGGUGGACAUGUUUGGAGACUGUCUAGCUACAAGCGAAUGUAUUAUCUUGGAGGAAACUCUAUCUGUACAAGGACCUUUCUUUAUCAGGUGCCUCUGCCAUGAUGACAUCCAUCGUGUUGUGAUGCAGCCAAAGGAACACUUACCAGAGGCUGAAGCAAUUGGACCACACAAUCUUGGACUUCUAGCUUCCAAAAUUAUAUUGAAAGAUUAGAAGCUCAUAUUCAGAUCUCUGGGCAUCUUCUCAGCAGCCUGUGGAGGUGGAUUCCCCUUUGUAGAAGAAGAUAUUGAAGCUUUUGAGAAUUGAGAGCCUUGAUGGCUGGCAAGGUCACCUGACUGGUAUAGAAUGGAGAGUACUUUGCUUAUAACAUGAAAUAUAUACCUUGACAGUUGGAUAUAGAUAGAGGCCAUUUAACAUGUAUUUCAUUUUUACUUUAAAAUUCUGUGGUAGAUGUUCAACUUCUCUUGGUGAAUAAUUGCAUAAUAGACUGUAAAAUAAAGGAAAUCAAGACCAGAUCUGGGAAUGGUCUUCUCCCCAUUGCCUGCAGUGAUCCAGAUGGGUUGUUUAUCUGCUCUCAGCAGGAUGAGUAUGGUACAAAGUGAAGAUAUGUGUUCCUUGUAUUUGGGAAAACUGUCAGAGUUAACAUAGUCUCUUAGCAAAAGCCUUGGGGGACUGAAGCCAAGUAGG
Molecule: long non-coding RNA, 1026 nt
Organism: Chinchilla lanigera (long-tailed chinchilla)
Lineage: Eukaryota; Metazoa; Chordata; Mammalia; Rodentia; Chinchillidae
Exons: 6
Source: RefSeq, a predicted model, not a curated record